This 71-nucleotide transfer RNA is filed under the name Sphaerodactylus townsendi. RNAcentral's name for it is "tRNA-Ala". The record is from RNAcentral. Lineage: Eukaryota; Metazoa; Chordata; Lepidosauria; Squamata; Sphaerodactylidae.
GAAUGUGGCUCAGUGGCAGAACAUCUUGCUUGGCAUGCAGAAGGCACCUGGUUCAAUCCCCAGCAUCUCCA